Long non-coding RNA from Candoia aspera, 339 nucleotides. RefSeq lists it as uncharacterized. NCBI's taxonomy places the organism in Eukaryota, Metazoa, Chordata, Lepidosauria, Squamata, Candoiidae. The transcript has 2 exons. The record is from RefSeq and is a predicted model, not a curated record.
ACAACACCAGCAACAAAGAAACUCAGCAAACAGGUGCCAGGAUAUUGCUAAGAUUGGAGUGAAGCAUUAGCUGCUGCUACUGCAAAUGGAAGAAUUCCUCAAAAGCUAAGCGCUAACUGAUGACAGAAGUAAAUAGAAGACUUUCUGGUUUCUUAGUAGGCAGGAAUGAAUAAAACUGACUAGAUGCUUGUAAUAGCCACUGCAAAUUCUUUUUCUGGACUGUCUAUAUAGACUUGCUUCACCAAGUGCGUGGGAAACCAUGUGCCCAAGGAAUGUGUUCUUUGUGUGCUUGACCAGAAUGCUGUAGACUCUUAAUAAAGGCAUUGGAGAUUUCACAAA